This 468-nucleotide ribosomal RNA is filed under the name uncultured bacterium. RNAcentral's name for it is "partial 16S ribosomal RNA". It matches the Rfam family "Bacterial small subunit ribosomal RNA", at positions 28 to 507 of the family's 1533-position model. The record is from RNAcentral.
GACGAACGCUGGCGGCGUGCUUAACACGUGCAAGUCGAACGGAAAGGCCCUGCUUUUGUGGGGUGCUCGAGUGGCGAACGGGUGAGUAACACGUGAGUAACCUGCCCUUGACUUUGGGAUAACUUCAGGAAACUGGGGCUAAUACCGGAUAGGAGCUCCUGCUGCAUGGUGGGGGUUGGAAAGUUUCGGCGGUUGGGGAUGGACUCGCGGCUUAUCAGCUUGUUGGUGGGGUAGUGGCUUACCAAGGCUUUGACGGGUAGCCGGCCUGAGAGGGUGACCGGCCACAUUGGUACUGAGAUACGGCCCAGACUCCUACGGGAGGCAGCAGUGGGGAAUAUUGCACAAUGGGCGGAAGCCUGAUGCAGCAACGCCGCGUGCGGGAUGACGGCCUUCGGGUUGUAAACCGCUUUCGCCUGUGACGAAGCGUGAGUGACGGUAAUGGGUAAAGAAGCACCGGCUAACUACGUG